Molecule: small nuclear RNA, 107 nt
Organism: Balaenoptera musculus (blue whale)
Lineage: Eukaryota; Metazoa; Chordata; Mammalia; Artiodactyla; Balaenopteridae
Source: Ensembl
GUGCUUGCUUUGGCAGCACAUAUACUAUAAUUGGAACAAUACAGAGAAGAUUAGCAUGGCUCCUGCCCAAGGGUGACAUGUGAAUUCUUGAAGCAAAAACCACAAUG